Molecule: ribosomal RNA, 495 nt
Filed under: uncultured bacterium
Lineage: Bacteria
Description: partial 16S ribosomal RNA
Rfam family: Bacterial small subunit ribosomal RNA
Source: RNAcentral
GACGAACGCUGGCGGCGUGCCUAAUACAUGCAAGUCGAACGCUGAAGGAGGAGCUUGCUUCUCCGGAUGAGUUGCGAACGGGUGAGUAACGCGUAGGUAACCUGCCUGGUAGCGGGGGAUAACUAUUGGAAACGAUAGCUAAUACCGCAUAACAGUAGAUAUUGCAUGAUAUCUGCUUGAAAGGUGCAAUUGCAUCACUACCAGAUGGACCUGCGUUGUAUUAGCUAGUUGGUGAGGUAACGGCUCACCAAGGCGACGAUACAUAGCCGACCUGAGAGGGGGAUCGGCCACACUGGGACUGAGACACGGCCCAGACUCCUACGGGAGGCAGCAGUAGGGAAUCUUCGGCAAUGGACGGAAGUCUGACCGAGCAACGCCGCGUGAGGGAAGAAGGGUGUCGGAUCGUAAAGCUCUGUUGUAAGAGAAGAACGAGUGUGAGAGUGGAAAGUUCACACUGUGACGGUAUCUUAACAGAAAGGGACGGCUAACUACGUG